CAAGCCCCAGUCAGGCCCUCUGCAAAUCUGAAAAUCCAAGGUAGGGUCAGGAAGCUGUUGACUUGCCCUGCUGGGCUGGUGAAAGCAGACACGAAGUAGCAAGGCUGGUCUGUAGAGGUUGCAGUGAGCCAAGACCAUCACACCACUGCACUCCAGCCUGGUCGACAGAGUGAGACUCUUGCGACUUGUACCUUGUUUUCUCUGUGUGGAGUAGAGCUCUGAAUAUUGCCUCUGACAUUUUUACCUAAUUUCUGAUAUCACUGUAGAAUCUCAAAUUCAACAUUUUCAAAUCUCACUUUGAAAAACCACUAUUUUGGAUAUGUUCUGGAAACAAUAGGUUUAUCUUUGUGUUUAAAAAUAAUAGAAAAGCUUCAUGACUUCAUGUCACCAUCUGAUAAAAGGACAGUACACAGUGAGUGAGGUGAGACUGAAUGGACUGCUUGUUCGAUAAUUUUUUUUUUUUGAGAUGGAGUCUCACUCUGUUGCCCACGCUGGAGUGCAGUGGCGCAAUCUCAACUCACUGCAACCUCCACUUCCCAGGUUCAAGUAAUUCUUCUGCCUCAGCCUCCCAAGUAGUUGGGACUACAGGCACACACCACCACACCCGGCUAAUUUUUGUAUUUUUAGUGGAGAUAGGGUUUCACCAUGUUUACCAGGCUGCUCUCAAACUCCUGACCUCAAGUGAUCUGCCCACGUCGGCCUCCCAAACUGCUGGGAUUAGGGGCAUUAGCCACUGCGCCCAGCCUUGUUCAAUAAAAUCUAAUUUCAUAUAGUAAUAAUUAUUUUUUCCUUUUUUGGCUGUUUGUGUUAAAUCAUUCUACUCAAAGGAAUCAUUUGUCUCAUCCACAACAUAUACAUUUCUAUAUCUGUACUGUGGUCCUAGUCACUAUAGUUCUAAUAUUUUUAUGAAUUCUAAUAUUUACUCGAUUCAUUCUAUCUCUGCUUUUGCCCUUCAACACUGAGCCAUUGAGCUAUUUUUUGGAAUUGGCGUAGAAUACCUAUAAUCAAUGAAAAUUUGUGAAUAAGAAUGGCAGAUAAUGGAAAAAUAUAUCAGCUGAGGUGAACUGCACUCAGCUGACCAAAUACUAGCCAAGACAAAGUGAUUAACACUCUUUUUGGCAUAUAUAUAAUCUUAAAGAUGAUUAAUAACAGGAUUCCUACAACAAUAAUGAUUCACACGAUUUUUAAUUAAUAAAAUACGUAAGAAUAAAAUGACUGCAUUGAUUUUUCCUCUGAAACUGCGAAAGCACCUGCAGAUCACCUAACUGACUUUGGGGUAUGGUGGUGGGGGGAUCCCCCAGUGGUCUUUGAGCCACAUUGAGAAACUCUGCUCUCAGUCUUCCAGCUUACAUUAGUUAGGCUUGUGUAAACACACAGCCAAAAGUUGUCAUGAUAUCCGAUCCCACUGUCAAUUCAAACUGAACUCCAUGAAGAAGUAUCUGUCUUCUCUCCUUGUUCCUUACCCUAUGUCCAACUCCCAGCCACUGCUCUUCCCACCCUGGUCUAUGCAAACCUCUCCUCAACAUCUCAAGUCAGGAAGCCUGUGAUACUAACAUUGAACUAGGGUUGAAUCCUACUGCUGUUCUUCUAAGGCAGUAAUUCUCAACCUUGGCAACUCAUUAAAAUCAUCUGGGGAGCUUUAAAAAAAUUUCAAAGUACUGCUGCCUAGAAGCUACCCCAGAUCAAUUUAAUCAGAAUCUCUGGGGUGGGAUCCAAGUACUUGUAUUUUUAAAAGGCUUCUCUGGUGUAGGCAGGAUGAGGAUAACUGCCUAAGAUGACACUGACAUAAGGCAUCUCCCAUAGCAGCCGCUCAAAUUAUCAUGUCUACGGGGUCCACCCUUGUUCUAGGUUCAUCUCUCGUCAGGGCUACUGUGACAAGCUUCUUGUUGGAUUCUCUGGAUCCAGUGACAUCUACUGUCAUCACAGUUGUCAAACGGUCUUUGCUGUCUUUCCCUCUGGCUAUGUCACUCUCUUCCUGCAACUCUCUUCCCAACUUGACUGCACACUGGAAUCACGGAGGCCUAUAAAGCACCAAUGUCUGGGCUGUACCCCAUACCAAAUAAACCACCACCUCCAGGGAUGGGAAUCAUGAGAGGGGUUAAAAAGCAGCUAGGAUUGAGAAGCAGUAUUCUAGGAGUUGCAGUAUCUAGUAUGACUACCACAUCUAGGUUAAUUUAGCUACUACAGAUGAGCUUGUUCUGAGCUGACAGCCAUUCUCAACAAGGAACUACUUUCGCUCAAGAGCUUACAGUCCACUGGCAAAGACAGACUUGAAAGACCAGUCAUCAGAUCACAGUGAAGUAAGUGCCAACAGAAAGAUUAAACAUCUUCUGAGGAGAGAGCAAGUAAUGGCUGGUUAAGUUAGGGAAGGCUCGUCAGGGGAAAUUAUACUUGAACGAGGUCUGGAGGGAAUCAUCCAGCCCAAAGGAUGAGGGGCAAAAGACGUUUUCUUAGAAACAUACAUUCAUUCUUUAAAAUAUUUUAAUUACCUAUGCAUACUGACACAUAACAUUUCUAUUACAUGUUUUUGAUCAGUUAAGACAAUGCUUCCCACUCUUUUAAAUGCCAUGAUACAAAGAGAAAAUAUCUGCAUAUUCCCUGAUUAAAGGAGGCUCUUACUGGUGGAGGUAACGGGCGUGGGACUCCAGCUGAGGGCAGCUAGAUCUCAGCAUACCGGUCACCCUUUGCAUGCCAAGGCACGCCUGCAAGGACGCUCCAAAUGAGCACCCCUUUGGCUACCAGUAACAGAAAAGCCAAUUCAAACUGGCCUAAGCGACGAUGGGUCUUUUCCUCUCACAGAAUGAAAGGCACAGGGAUGGGCACCUCCAAGUAUAGACUGUCAGAGCUCCGCUUCUCCGUCAUUUUCUUGGCUGUGCCUUACUUGGCAUUGGUGUCAUCCCCAGGCUGGUACCAGAUUGCUGCCACAUUGCUAGAUGUGAUCAGGUCAGGGGAGGAAGAGAGGUGUCCUUCCUUGUAUGUCUAUGUCUCCCUGUGAAGAAAGUUUUCUGAGAAGCCUGCAGAGAGUUACUCCUCAUAUUCCCGCAGCCAGAAUCUUGUCAAAUGUCCCUGCCUAACCCAAUCUUUGGCAAGGAGAAAUGCAACACCAUGAUCAGCUUAGAUGAACCAGGAUGAACUCACAGAAAUGUGGACCAGAUUUGCUUUCACACAGACACAUAGGGAGGGGUAAACAACCACACAAAGUCAAGGAUUUUCCAGCAAGUAAGACAGUGGGACUGGUUGUUGGGUAGGCAACCAAUAGCGUUUGCCUCAUAUCAGAAAGAGGCUGUACAGCAUCGUAAUUAAGGGCACCACUCUGGAGUCGGGCGGUGAGCUCAAAUUCCACUCUACCAUUGCCAACUGAGUAUAUGGGCUUCAGUUUUUUUGUCUCUGAAAAGGAAAUGAUACGAGUUCCUAACUCGGGGUUGCUGGGAAGAUGAAAUGAGGAUUAAAGGUACAUUGCUUAGAAGCAACUCUGGCAUAUGUGCACAUUAUGAUGUGGCUCAAUGUUAGUGGUCAUUUCUGUAGUGUCCGCCAUGGGUUAUAACAGCCAACAGGCAGGACCACAUCUGUGGGUAAGACAGGUUUUCUCUGAUUAGCACUGAGCCAGUGCCACACUCAAUUAGACAUUCAAUAAGUUCAUUUUUUUGCAUAUUAAUAAUUUAAAAUCUAUGUCUUCUUCUUGCUAAUAAAAAAUAUGCUACCAACUAAAAAGUAACUUUUUUACAAUUAGAAAUACUUCUAAAGCAGAGGUGCUCACCCCGCAGGCUGGGGACUGUUAAGAACCAGGCUGCACAGCAGGUGAACCUCAGGCAAGUGAGCAUUCUCGCCUGAGCUCUGCCUCCUGUCAGAUCAGCAGCAGCAUUAGAUAGUCUUUUUUUUUUUUUUUUUGAGAUGGAAUCUCACUCUGUCGCGCAGGCUGGAGUGCCGUGGCAUGAUCUUGGCUCACUGUAACCUCCAUCUCCCGGGUUCAAGCGACUCUCCUGCCUCAGCCUCCCAAGUAGCUGGGAUUACAGGCUCACGCCACCACGCCUGGCUAAUUUUUGUAUUUUUAGUACACACGGGGUUUUGCCAUGUUGGCCAGGCUUGUCUCGGACUCCUGACCUCAGGUGAUCCACCCACCUCAGCCUCCCAAAGUGCUGGGAUUACAAGCGUGAGCCACUGCGCUCCGCCUGGCAUUAAAUUCUCACAGGAGCACAAACCCAAUUGUGAACUGUGCAUGAGAGGGAUCUAGGUUGCAAGCUCCUUAUGUGACUCUAAUGCCUGAUGAUUCGAAGUGGGACAGUUUCAUCCCUAAACCAUGCCCUCCUCCCCACCCCCGUGGAAAAACUGUCUUCCACAAAACAGGUCCCUGAUGCCAAAAAGGUUGGGGACCACUGUUCUAAAGUAUUUGAAGAUAUUACUGCAAAAAAAAAAAAAGAAAGAAAGAAAGAAAAAAAAGAAAUGUUACCAAGUAAAAGGUAACAUUUAACAAUUGGGAAUACUUCAAAAAAUCUACUGCUCCCUGGAAAGUAUAUUAAGAUAACAGUAAUUACAAUUUACUAUGAAUAUUUAUUGAGCCUUCACUAUGUGCUGGGAACUGCUUUAAAUGCCUUACAUACAUUAUCUCAUUUAACCCUAAAACCAAUCUUUGGAGUCAGGAUUAUCAGUAAAACACUUAAAACUAAACUUCAAUGAAAAUAUAAGUUUGUUUUUAAAGGACAAACUUUUCCAGAAUUUCAUGUUAAACAAAAAUUUAAGCUACUCAAUUCCUAGUUCUAAGACACACUUUCUCUCCUUACUAUUCCUACCCCCUGCCCCAUUUUAGCAUUUCUGAACUCAGGAUGCCUCUUAAAAUAUUUAGACUUGGCCGGGUGUGGUGGCUCACGCCUCUAAUCCCAGCAUUUUGGGAGGCCGAGGCGAGUGGAUCGCCUGAGGUCAGGAGUUUGUGACCAGCGUGGCCAACAUGGUAAAACCCGUCUCUACUAAAAAUACCAAGAAAAUUAGCUGGGUGUGGUGAUGCAUGCCUGUAAUCCCAGCUACGUGGGAGGCUGAGGCAGGAGAAUCGCUUGAACCCAGGAAGUGGAGGCUGCAGUGCCAUUGCACUCCAGCCUGGGUGACAAGGGCGAAACUCCAUCUCAAAAAAUAAAACAAAAUAAAAUGUUUAGACUUCACUAUAAUAAUGCUUUCCCCUUUUACCUGGGCUAUUAGCUUGGUAGGGCAUUCACAGGAGAGGAAGUGCAGCAGUUACAACCAUCUCCGAGUCAAGCUCCAUGUUUUUUUUUUGUUUUUUUGUUUUUGGUUUGUUUGUUUGUUUGUUUGUUUGAGUGGGAAUCUCCCUCUGUCACCCAGGCUGGGGUGCAGUGGCGUGAUCUUGGCUCACUGCAACUUCUGCCUCCCGGGUUCAAGCGAUUCUCCUGCUUCAGCCUCCCAAGUAGCUGGGACUACAGCAUGCACCACCAUGCCUGGCUAAUUUUUUUUUUUUUUUUUUUUUUGAGACGGAGUCUCGCUCCGUCGCCCAGGCUGGAGUGCAGUGGUGUAAUCUCAGCUCACUACAAGAUCCGCCUCCCGGGUUCAUGCCAUUCUCCUGCCUCAGCCUCCUGAGUAGCUGGGACUCUAGGCACCUGCCACCAUGCCCUGCUAAUUUUUUGUAUUUUUAGUACAGAUGGGGUUUCACCGUGUUAGCCAGGAUGGUCUCGACCUCCUGACCUUGUGACCCGCCCGCCUUGGCCUCCCAAAGUGCUGGGAUGGAUUACAGGUGUGAGCCACUGCACUGGCCCAAGAUCCAUGUUUUACUUAUUAACCAAGUAUAUGCUGGUGAGAUCCUCUCUUCCACAGAGGGCCUUAAAAUGAGAAUCUAAUAAGUAACUGCAGUGUCACAUUUCCCCUGAUGCUGGUAGCCAAGUAAUCCCCACUUUAGAUUGUAGAAAUUUUGUGAAAUAGUGUGGACCUGAACAUUAAAGCCUAAGUGAUAUGUCCCCAGUCCUGCAGGUGGUUUAUCGCCAAGAUUUCUCACUUUGCUUCAGUCCAAGGACCAAGUAAAGAACUAGAAAUUCAAGAACACCAUUUAAAUCCUAGGUCUACCAACUGAUUUUCUGGGUGCUAUGAGCAGUGACUGAAAUGCCCUGGACUCUCCUCCUUCAUCUGUUAAAAGAUAUCAACAGUGCCUACAGAAGGUCUAAGGGUAUUAAGAGUAACUAACAGGAUUGUUGUGGUUCCAAAAUACCUCACAUUUUCUCCCACUCAUAUCUGUUUCCUCCCUUACUGCACACGAAGGCCUAAAUCUCCCAACCCAUUAAUGAUUCAUCUUAUUAAAGGAAAUCAGCUGCUUGCCUGGCAGCUAACAUAGUUCUGCUUCAUGACUACUUGAAUUAAUUUGAUUUUCUUCAAUCAUCUAUAAGAAUCUAUUCAAUUUCAGAAAAGUACGUGUUAACAACGUAUUGACAGAAUAAAGAAGUAGAGUUCACCUGGCCCUGGCAGCAGCCUCUGUGCCCCAGGUUUUCCCAACCAGCCCUGCCCCACUGGAGUUCCUGCUGCCUCCACAUCCCACAGAAGAUCAGGCUCUUCCCAUAAUUACUAGCCACCAGGGCUCCCCUCUGCCCAAGAAUGAGAUCCAAACUCCUUAGGUGAAUGGAAGAGCUUCUCCACAAUAUCCAUUCCCCACCCACCCUUCCAGCUUCACAGCCCAUCAUUUCCUCCUUGUACCCUGCACUGCAGGCAUGGUGGGAGGGUGGGGAUGUGUGGAGAGAGAGAGAGAGACAGAGACAGAGAGAGAGAGAGAGAGACAGAGAGAGUGUGUGUGUGUGUGUGUGUGUGUGUACAAAGGGAACCACCAAAUCUACCAACCUCCCUGCAGCCACCUCCACAUGUGCCUCCCCAUCUUUGAUAGUGGGUAAACCUUCUGUGUGCUCAUCAAAGACCCACUUUACUCCUAUUGUAGAUCCCCACCCUCCCACCACCUCAAUAAAUAUGGUCACUGCAAUCAUCCACUAUCCGCUCCAUUCUCAUCAGCUUCAUUCAUUCAUUCAUUCAUUCAGAGACAGAGUCUUGCUCUGUCACCCAGGCUGGAGAGCAGUGGCGCCAUCCCUGGCUCACUGCAGCCUCAACCUUCUGGGCUGAAGUGAUCCUCACACCUGAGCCUCCCAAGUAGCUGAGAACACAUGUACACACCACCAUCGCAAGCUAACUUUUUAAAAUUUUUGUAAAGAUGGAGUCUCACUUUGUUUUCCAAGAUGAUCUUGAACUCCUGGGUUCAAGCAAUCCUCCCACCACCUCGGCCUUGGAAAGUGCUAGGAUUACGGGCGUGAGCCACCAUGCCCAGCCAGCUUCUUUCUCUUUGCCCAGGUUAUUCUCUUCAGCACACAAAUGUGCUCUGAUAGACUGUUCCCUUAAAACAUCCUCACUUGGCUUCACAUCCUUCUCCAGCAAUUUCCCUAUUUCUUUAAUUUUACAGUAGGACUCCCUGAAAGAGCUGCCUGUACUUGAUGUCUCAACUUUCUUGCCCCACCUUCUCUCAACUCACUCCAGUUAAACUUCUUUUCCCAAUAUUCUAUCACAAUUGCCUUCUUCCAGGUCACCAGUGACCCCCACUGAACCAAAUCCCACAGUCCACCCUCAGUCCUCAUAACUUCCACUUCUCAGCAGCUGAUAUUCCUGACACCACAGCUCAGUCCGCACACCACUGAUCUUCUUUCCACCUCCUUCCACGUUGUGCUUCUCCAGUUUCAUGACGUCAAAUACCAUCUGUAUCCUGAAGGCUCCGCAAAUUCAGAUCUCUAGUCAUGGGCUGCCUCAUGAACUCCAGCUGUAUUUCCACUAGCCAUUUCAGACUCAAAUUUUUUUUUUUUUUUUAAGAUGGAGUCUCGCUCUCAUCGCCCAGGCUGGAGUGCAAUGGCGCCAUCUCAGCUCACUGCAACCUCCACCUCCCAGGUUCAUGUGAUUCUCCUGCUUCAGCCUCCCCAGUAGCUGGGGUUACAGGCACCCGACACCACGCCUGACUAAUUCUUGUAUUUUUAAUAGAGAUGGAGUUUUGCAAUGU
This 8014-nucleotide long non-coding RNA is filed under the name Homo sapiens (human). RNAcentral describes it as "non-protein coding lnc-FANCC-74:1". Lineage: Eukaryota; Metazoa; Chordata; Mammalia; Primates; Hominidae. The record is from RNAcentral.